UGGGGAAUAUUGCACAAUGGGCGCAAGCCUGAUGCAGCCAUGCCGCGUGUAUGAAGAAGGCCUUCGGGUUGUAAAGUACUUUCAGCGGGGAGGAAGGGAGUAAAGUUAAUACCUUUACUCAUUGACGUCACCCGCAGAAGAAGCACCGGCUAACUCCGUGCCAGCAGCCGCGGUAAUACGGAGGGUGCAAGCAUUAAUCGGAAUUACUGGGCGUAAAGCGCACGCAGGCGGUUUGUUAAGUCAGAUGUGAAAUCCCCGGGCUCAACCUGGGAACUGCAUUCGAAACUGGCAGGCUAGAGUCUUGUAGAGGGGGGUAGAAUUCCAGGUGCAGCGGUGAAAUGCGUAGAGAUCUGGAGGAAUACCGGUGGCGAAGGCGGCCCCCUGGACAAAGACUGACGCUCAGGUGCGAAAGCGUGGGGAGCAAACAGG
Molecule: ribosomal RNA, 429 nt
Filed under: Chloroflexota bacterium
Lineage: Bacteria; Bacillati; Chloroflexota
Description: Chloroflexi bacterium partial 16S ribosomal RNA
Rfam family: Bacterial small subunit ribosomal RNA
Source: RNAcentral